This 109-nucleotide small nuclear RNA is filed under the name Prolemur simus (greater bamboo lemur). Lineage: Eukaryota; Metazoa; Chordata; Mammalia; Primates; Lemuridae. The record is from RNAcentral.
GUGCUCGCUUCGGCAGCACAUAUACUAAAAUUGGAAUGAUACAGAGAAGAUUAAUUAGCAUGGCCUCUGCAAGGAUGAGAAAAAUGAAAAAAAGAAAAUUAAAUAAUUA